This is a long non-coding RNA of Octodon degus (degu), 1865 nucleotides long. RefSeq lists it as uncharacterized. The record is from RefSeq and is a predicted model, not a curated record. Lineage: Eukaryota; Metazoa; Chordata; Mammalia; Rodentia; Octodontidae. The transcript has 4 exons.
UUGGGGACCGCUGUGUCCCGGGAUGGGAACCCGGGCCGAGCUCCGCGGCCGCAGACAGUGAGCCGGUCUGCGCGGGCAAGGGCACCGGGGUCAGGAGCCCCCGCCCCGAAGCCGGACAUGGAGCCGCAGCUUGGCGGGGAAGGGACACUGUGACCAGCUCUGAGCAGUGCCAUGGUAUCAGGCUGUGAGCCCAGGCCCAGGCCUUGUCCCAGCUCCCCAAGCAUCACGAUCCUGCAGCUGCCUCACCCUCCAGGCAAAGGCUUCUGCGACUCUGCCUGCCUCUGUGGGUGCUUCUAGCUGUCGCCAGGUCUGGCCCUCUGUGUGUCCCAGUGUGUGAGCCUGGAGUUGUGCACAGCGUCCCUUCAUUGCCCUCUUGAAUAUUUAGUUUCAGCAGCAGUGACCUCCGUCAUUUCCAGAGGAGAGAUAGUCACAGUGCAGGAAUCUACACUUCUCUGGGGCUGCAACAACGCUCUGCAGAGACCCAGUGUGAUCUCGCUGCGUCUCAUCAUGGAAACAGAGUCUCUGUGCCUCCCAGUUGCCGGCAGAUGGGGCGAGCGUCAGUGUGGCCAUGGGCUGAAGCAGGGACAAUGCUGGCAAUGCAUCCAGGAUGGUGAGUCAGAGCAGUGACCGUGCUCAGAUGACAGUGGGGCAGAGAUCACAGCUACCCUUCCUGUGAGAGCCCCUCCAGGAUCAUACUGGGACCCAAGGACCUUCGGGUAGGGCGAGUGUGCCCAGUGACACUGGCCCAGCACCUCCUUCCUGGGACUGAGGCAGCUGUGGAAGUCCUGUUUGAGACAUACAAGCCAGCUCCUGCUUGCUUCUGCUGAGGUGCUUCUGCAUCUCCAAAGAGAUGGACCUAUUUCCCAUCUUUGAAACAUGACCUGGUCUAACAGCUUGUGGGGUGCAAGGGGGGGUAUAGUUGAGGUUCCCUGUUUAGGCAGGGGCUGUGCACCCUGUGCCACUGCCAUGUCGAGAGUGGUGUCUCCUGGACCCAUAGCCUAGGGGACAUCCUGCUGGAUGUCAGGGGCAACAUGAGAGCCAGUAAGUUGGGAUUGGGCACCAAGCUUCCUUGGGGAGAAGCUGGUUCUGGUCUGUGGCUCUGUCCUGUCCUGUCCCCCAGAAAUGUUGUCGGUCAAGGAGAGUGACAACCUUGAGGCAUACAUUUAAAACCUGGGAUUGUCCUGUUCUCCUUGCUGUUUCCUGUGGAUGCCCUUUUGGAGAUGCAGGUGAAGAGGGUCCUGGACAGAUGGGCAUCCUCCUGCCAACCCUCCCUGGACACACAAAGCCUUCUCGGCCAGCUUCUCACUCUGAACCCCAGGCACAGGCCUAUGCUUGAGAACACCCUGGGGGACGCAUUCCCUCUCACACUUUACUAGAGAUGUCUUCCGAUUGUCUAUACCUUGGACUCAGAGGGUCACAUCUUCCAUAGGUUGUGGGUGACCCUCUGGAGAUGACAGAUGAGACUGAUGACUUCCUGGCCCUGUGGCUCCUGUUGGAAAGCCAGACACACUGGGGCAUAGGUCAGGCCUUCCAUGUGUGCCCACCACCCCAGGAAUGUACCCCCUCAGCUCACUUCCUAAGAGGAGGCCCAGCAACCUUGCCACGUACCCCAAACCCUUCCAGCACCCUGUUUGCCUCUGCAGCCGACAGAGGGGGACCCUGUCUCAGCAAAGCUGCAGCCUCUGCUGGCUGUAAGAGCCAUAAGAACGACUUGUGCUGUCACUUGUGCCUGCGUUUGGACCCUUUGCUGCUACUGCUGGUCAACCAGCCAGCAGGGAACACACACCCUGGGUAUAGAACAAAGGUACUAGACAGUAGAAAUGUGGACAGGAGGUGAGAGUGCGGUCCAGCAGGGUGCAUAAUGU